RNAcentral lists this ribosomal RNA (484 nucleotides) under uncultured bacterium. RNAcentral's name for it is "partial 16S ribosomal RNA". It matches the Rfam family "Bacterial small subunit ribosomal RNA", at positions 30 to 507 of the family's 1533-position model. The record is from RNAcentral.
AUUGAACGCUGGCGGCAGGCCUAACACAUGCAAGUCGAGCGGAUGAAGGGAGCUUGCUCCUGGAUUCAGCAGCGGACGGGUGAGUAAUGCCUAGGAAUCUGCCUGGUAGUGGGGGAUAACGUCCGGAAACGGGCGCUAAUACCGCAUACGUCCUGAGGGAGAAAGUGGGGGAUCUUCGGACCUCACGCUAUCAGAUGAGCCUAGGUCGGAUUAGCUAGUUGGUGGGGUAAAGGCCUACCAAGGCGACGAUCCGUAACUGGUCUGAGAGGAUGAUCAGUCACACUGGAACUGAGACACGGUCCAGACUCCUACGGGAGGCAGCAGUGGGGAAUAUUGGACCAUGGGCGAAAGCCUGAUCCAGCCAUGCCGCGUGUGUGAAGAAGGUCUUCGGAUUGUAAAGCACUUUAAGUUGGGAGGAAGGGCAGUAAGUUAAUACCUUGCUGUUCUGACGUUACCAACAGAAUAAGCACCGGCUAACUUCGUG